This is a long non-coding RNA of Cyprinus carpio carpio, 1951 nucleotides long. The record is from Ensembl. Lineage: Eukaryota; Metazoa; Chordata; Actinopteri; Cypriniformes; Cyprinidae.
UUCUAAAGAUAUCACGAUAUAUCGAUAUUGUGAAUUCUUAUGGCCACAAUAACCGUGAUAUGAAAAAUCUAAUAUUGUGACAGCCCUACUUGUACCUUAAAGGUGCUGUAUGUAGGAUUGUCACUGAGUGGUUGAACUAGGUAUUGCAGUCCAAAUUCAAAAUAUUGGAGAGGGUUUUUUCACCCGGCCCCUCCUCAUCAGACUUAACACACAUGCAGGUUGCCAGAUUGACGACACCAACAAGAAAGAGCGCACUUGACGAUGAAUGAAAUUAAAUAUGCUGUGUUUUCCGCCAACUCGCAACCCGGGGUGUCGAAAUACAAUUGGGUAAACUGGAAGUGGGCGGGUUUCAGAAACCUAAACAAAUACAGACUUUCCACCCGGAACGCACAUUUUCAAAGGAGAAUAACUGACUCUAGCAUUGUUUUGGUGUUUUUGGUAUUUUUAUGCUUUAGUAGAGGUACAAAUGCAAAAAGGUACAUAUUUUUAACUUAUUUACCCCUAAAUGAUACAUUGAAGUAAAAUACAUAUUACAUACAUAUAAUUACGUACAUAACUGUAAAAUGUUAUGCUCUUAUUACAGGAAAAUCCAUAUUUCCAUGAUUUGCCCUCUUGUAAGUGAUCAGGGUCCCUAAACCUCUGAUCACCUCACCAUGGACCCUCACCUCCAAAUGGAGCUUAAUAUUAGGAGAUGGAGGGAGGAAGAGAUGAGAGGUUUGUCAGACUAUGACUCGGUGUGCAUGAAUGGACAGACCGCUGAUAUAGUCAUCUGCUUCCAAUGUAGAGAAGAGCAGAGGGAGCCAUCCAUCGCUGGGCACGUGGACUCAACCUUGAAAAGCGUAGAGGGAGAUUGAACUGUGUGGUCUUCACUGCACUUCUCCCUUAACAAGCUCAAACUGGACUCGAGGGGGAGACGUAAACCAUCAAGUCUGGAUCUGGCACAGAGCAAAGAGUGAUAUCAAAGAGCAAGGCAAGUGACACCACAAAGUGGCCUGAACACAGAGAUCAAUUAGCUUCUUUUAAGUGAGAUCAAAGCGUCGUGCCCCUAUGCCGAGGCAUGAAGGCCAAUUAAAUCUGACCAGAAGGAUGCUGGUCCUCAUGGACAACUCACCACUGGACACAUGCUAUGGAUUUAACAGUAUGCUAUAAAAACACCACAAAUCUGUAUACUUAUCAUUUGAUAUUCACUAUAAAUGGUGUUAUUUUGGAGGCCAGCAACACAGAACUUCUCAUUCCUUACUUAUUAUAGUAAUCAUAAUCAUAAAAAAAUGAUAGUCAGUGUUAGGCGAUAAAAGUGAGGGAGUGAGGGAGCGUGAGAGUGGAGUCGGAAGAGGAAACAUCGAGUCUCAGUCCACAGACAGGUGCAGUGACCCUAUCCACCUCUGGAGGUGCCACUUGCAUUUUAUGGGACAUUUAUGGUAGGCCAGCACUUUUUACCACGGCCACCUGGAUGCAAUAAGAGCACAGCUCCUGAGCCUGCUUGUAGGAAACUCUCAGGGGCUCCCGUGGGAGUCAGGGCCUGUUAAGAUGUUUAUGAUUCAAAAAGUGGUCCAGGGGGAAAACACUGACAACUACAGAGAGAGGGAUUUUGUAGAGGGAGCUUGUUUUCUUGUUACUUCCAACACUCCCCCAGAGAGCUGUUUUCCCUCCUCUUUUCCUGAUUAAACCCAUGGGGAGAACAGGAUUCAUUUAGAUGUUUUUUUUAAACUGUGUUUAAUUAUGUUUGGGGUGAUUUGAUGAUCUGUCAGUUGGUUUUAGGUUUUGUUUCAUAUAUGUAUCAUAUUUGUUAGAUGUAGUUCAUUUAGUUCAGAAAAUCGGAAUGAACUACAAUAGAAAAGAAUUAGCUAGACUCCACUGAAAGUUUGUAAAUUAAAUUGCAAUGACACAAGUCCAGAUGGGCUGCUCUAAUAACUUCAUUAGGAUUGACAUACUUCCUGUUCAUUGAUAUAUA